RNAcentral lists this ribosomal RNA (431 nucleotides) under uncultured bacterium. RNAcentral describes it as "partial 16S ribosomal RNA". It matches the Rfam family "Bacterial small subunit ribosomal RNA", at positions 29 to 507 of the family's 1533-position model. The record is from RNAcentral.
AGCGAACGCUGGCGGCAGGCUUAACACAUGCAAGUCGAGCGCCCCGCAAGGGGUGCGGCAGCCGGGUGAGUAACACGUGGGAACGUACCCUUUGGUUCGGAACAACCCAGGGAAACUUGGGCUAAUACCGGAUAAGUCCGCGCGGAGAAAGAUUUAUCGCCGAAGGAGCGGCCGGCGUCUGAUUAGCUUGUUGGUGUGGUAACGGCGCACCAAGGCGACGAUCAGUAGCUGGUCUGUGAGGAUGAGCAGCCACACUGGCACUGAGACACAGCCCAGACUCCUACGGGAGGCAGCAGUGGGUAAUGUUGCACCAUGGGGGCAAUCCUGAUCCAGCCAGGUCGCGAGAGUGAUGAAGGUCGGAGGGUAGUAAAGCGCUGUCGGUGGAGAAGAUAAUGACGGUACCCACAGAAGAAGCCACGGCUAACUUCGUG